This 253-nucleotide ribosomal RNA is filed under the name uncultured bacterium. RNAcentral describes it as "partial 16S ribosomal RNA". It matches the Rfam family "Bacterial small subunit ribosomal RNA", at positions 524 to 776 of the family's 1533-position model. The record is from RNAcentral.
UACAGGGGGGGCAAGCGUUGUUCGGAAUUACUGGGCGUAAAGGGCCAGUAGGCGGCCAACUAAGUCCGACGUGAAAUCCCCAAGCUUAACUUGGGAACUGCGUCGGAUACUGGAUGGCUUGAAUUCGGGAGAGGGAUGCAGAAUUCCAGGUGUAGCGGUGAAAUGCGUAGAUAUCCGGAGGAACACCGGUGGCGAAGGCGGCUUCCUGGACCGACACUGACGCUGAGGCGCGAAAGCUAGGGGAGCAAACGGG